UACGUAGGUGGCAAGCGUUAUCCGGAAUUAUUGGGCGUAAAGCGCGCGCAGGCGGUUUCUUAAGUCUGAUGUGAAAGCCCACGGCUCAACCGUGGAGGGUCAUUGGAAACUGGGGAACUUGAGUGCAGAAGAGAAAAGCGGAAUUCCACGUGUAGCGGUGAAAUGCGUAGAGAUGUGGAGGAACACCAGUGGCGAAGGCGGCUCUCUGGUCUGUAACUGACGCUGAGGCGCGAAAGCGUGGGGAGCGAACAGG
Molecule: ribosomal RNA, 253 nt
Filed under: uncultured bacterium
Lineage: Bacteria
Description: partial 16S ribosomal RNA
Rfam family: Bacterial small subunit ribosomal RNA
Source: RNAcentral